UGAGGAAUAUUGGGCAAUGCCCGCAAGGGUGACCCAGCAACGCCGCGUGGAGGAUGAAUGUCGUAAGAUUGUAAACUCCUGUUAGAGGGGAAGAAUAGUACCGGUUGGACUAGUAUAUGACUGUACCCUCAGAGAAAGCCCCGGCUAACUACGUGCCAGCAGCCGCGGUAAUACGUAGGGGGCAAGCGUUGUCCGGAUUUACUGGGUGUAAAGGGCGCGCAGGCGGGAUAAAAAGUCAGUGGUGAAAUCCUACAGCUUAACUGUAGAACUGCCUUUGAUACUUUUAUUCUUGAGUUCGGGAGAGAGAGACGGAAUUCCAGGUGUAGUGGUGAAAUACGUAGAUAUCUGGAAGAACACCAGUUGCGAAGGCGGUCUCUUGGUCCGACACUGACACUGAGGCGCGAAAGCGUGGGGAGCAAACA
This 422-nucleotide ribosomal RNA is filed under the name uncultured bacterium. RNAcentral describes it as "bacterial SSU rRNA". It matches the Rfam family "Bacterial small subunit ribosomal RNA", at positions 355 to 774 of the family's 1533-position model. The record is from RNAcentral.